GAUGAACGCUAGCGGGAGGCUUAACACAUGCAAGUCGAGGGGCAGCAUAGGGUAGCAAUACUCUGAUGGCGACCGGCAAACGGGUGAGUAACGCGUAUGCAACCUACCCUGUACAGGGGGAUAACCCGGAGAAAUUCGGACUAAUAUCCCGUAAUAAUAUCCGGAGGCAUCUUUGGAUAUUUAAAGUUCCGACGGUACGGGAUGGGCAUGCGUAACAUUAGCUGGUUGGUAAGGUAACGGCUUACCAAGGCUAUGAUGUUUAGGGGUCCUGAGAGGGUGGUCCCCCACACUGGUACUGAGACACGGACCAGACUCCUACGGGAGGCAGCAGUGAGGAAUAUUGGUCAAUGGGCGCAAGCCUGAACCAGCCAUCCCGCGUGCAGGAAGACGGCCCUAUGGGUUGUAAACUGCUUUUCCAGGGAGAGAAACUUACGCACGUGUUGCGUGACUGACGGUACCCUGGGAAUAAGCAUCGGCUAACUCCGUGCCAGCAGCCGCGGUGAUCUCGUCUCUA
RNAcentral lists this ribosomal RNA (514 nucleotides) under uncultured bacterium. RNAcentral describes it as "bacterial SSU rRNA". It matches the Rfam family "Bacterial small subunit ribosomal RNA", at positions 28 to 537 of the family's 1533-position model. The record is from RNAcentral.